Molecule: long non-coding RNA, 472 nt
Organism: Mauremys reevesii (Reeves's turtle)
Lineage: Eukaryota; Metazoa; Chordata; Testudines; Geoemydidae
Exons: 4
Source: RefSeq, a predicted model, not a curated record
CUCAGGUAAUAGAACUCUCAGAAUGUUACUGCAGAAGAAUACAUUAUAGUGGUGUGCCAAUUAAACUGAACAGACUGUCCUUGACUGAAUACUCUUUUUAUAAGAGUGUGCUGGUAGCAGUGCCUCAUAGGACGGGGCCAGAAUCUGAAGGGAGGGGAGCGAAUAGUUCAAUUGAGAGCUCUGGGAGCAGGUAGAGAAAACAGCUGGCACUGCUGAAUGCUAUACUGGAUCAAGAAAAUCAGGAGUCCCAGAUCUCAUCUCUUCUUCCUGCCAGCCCCCUCCCCUGUGUGGAUAUGGCAUAAAUAUGGGACUGUCCCUUUAAAAACAGGAUAUCUGGUCACCCUAAGCAGAGAAGAAACUCAAAGUGAUUAAAUUGGGAGCCUGCCAGCAAGAAAUUGUGUGCCAGCAGAACAUCACCAUCUGGCUCCCUGACUGCAGGGCCAGCUCCUGCUCUGCAAGAAUACAGAAGAUG